This 406-nucleotide ribosomal RNA is filed under the name uncultured bacterium. RNAcentral's name for it is "partial 16S ribosomal RNA". It matches the Rfam family "Bacterial small subunit ribosomal RNA", at positions 30 to 526 of the family's 1533-position model. The record is from RNAcentral.
AUUGAACGCUGGCGGCAGGCCUAACACAUGCAAGUCGAACGAGUGGCGGACGGGUGAGUAAUGUCUGGGAAACUGCCCGAUGGAGGGGGAUAACUACUGGAAACGGUAGCUAAUACCGCAUACCAUCGGAUGUGCCCAGAGGGGAUUAGCUAGUAGGUGGGGUAACGGCUCACCAAGGCGACGAUCCCUAGCUGGUCUGAGAGGAUGACCAGCCACACUGGAACUGAGACACGGUCCAGACUCCUACGGGAGGCAGAAGUGGGGAAUAUUGCACAAUGGGCGAAAGCCGGAUCCAGCCAUGCCGCGUGUAUGAAGAAGGUCUUCGGGUUGUAAAGUACUUUCAGCGAGGAGGCGUUACUCGCAGAAGAAGCACCGGCUAACUCCGUGCCAGCAGCCGCGGUAAUAC